Ixodes scapularis (black-legged tick) is the source of this 210-nucleotide long non-coding RNA. RefSeq lists it as uncharacterized. NCBI's taxonomy places the organism in Eukaryota, Metazoa, Arthropoda, Arachnida, Ixodida, Ixodidae. The transcript has 3 exons. The record is from RefSeq and is a predicted model, not a curated record.
GUGUUCAAUAAUGAGAUGUCACCAAAUGAUGAAGACGCUUCGGCAGAGGAAUCGGCACCAUACACAUUCUGUUCGUGUUCAUCCUGACGAUGGUUGUCGCUGUGGCAUUUGGAGUGGUCCUUAUGGUGUACAACGACAUUUGGAAAAUAUGAAACACGCAGCCCUGCGAAACACAAGGCCAGCUGCGACGCUACCCUGAGAAAAUGGGGC